Molecule: long non-coding RNA, 1040 nt
Filed under: Olea europaea (common olive)
Lineage: Eukaryota; Viridiplantae; Streptophyta; Magnoliopsida; Lamiales; Oleaceae
Description: long non-coding RNA (OEUR_LNC002641)
Source: RNAcentral
UCAACCCUAAAACCACCCUACUGGAAGCUCAGUGAACUUCGCACACACCCGAACGCUCCCGCAUUCCACUAAACCCCACAUUCCAAGAAGUUUCUUGCCCUCAAAGUAUCAUAUGUUCUCCUUUGACCAGACACCCCAAUUCCCAUUUCAUCUACGCUGUUUUUCCUAUUAUCCUUUAGCCACAACCAGGAUCCUCCCCCAUUACUCCAAACCAGAUAAUUUUAUUAUUCUUUUUUUAUUUUUUAUUUCUGAAAAAGAUGAAGGUGACGCCGGAAUCUGUUUCUGGGUGUUUCGGAGACGGGGUUUUUCCUCCGGGAUUCAGAUUCCACCCAACGGAUGAAGAGCUCGUGCUCUACUAUUUGAAGAGGAAGAUCUGCAGGAGCGUAAUGAGAUAGAUAGUAUUUUUUUGAAAAAUUAGUGAUUGAAAAGUUUUUUAUUUACGUGUAAUAUUAUUUUAUUAAAAAUUGUGUAAUUAAAAAUAGAAGAGUGAAAAAUUUAAUUUAAUUUAAUGAGAAAUAAGAAGGUUCAAACGGGGCUUAAUUAGAUAGGCCUCUGGAGCUCGCGAUUAUUUUGCCGGGAAGUACACCCGCAUUGUUCAUCAAUUAAUUCACACAAAAAAAUGACAACCCUAAAACCACCCUACUGGAAGCUCAGUGAACUUCGCACACAGCCGAACGCUCCCGCAUUCCACUAAACCCCACAUUCCAAGAAGUUUCUUGCCCUCAAAGUAUCAUAUGUUCUCCUUUGACCAGACACCCCAAUUCCCAUUUCAUCUACUCUGUUUUUCCUAUUAUCCUUUAGCCAAACCAGAAUCCUCCCCCAUUACUCCAAACCAGAUAAUUUUAUUAUUCUUUUUUUAUUUUUUAUUUCUGAAAAAGAUGAAGGUGACGCCGGAAUCUGGUUCUGGGUGUUUCGGAGGCGGGGUUUUUCCUCCGGGAUUCAGAUUCCACCCAACGGAUGAAGAGCUCGUGCUCUACUAUUUGAAGAGGAAGAUCUGCAGGAGACGACUCCGUCUUGAUGUCAUUGGAGAAACCGAUGUU